ACUGAAAACUUGUUUGGUAAGACC
This 24-nucleotide microRNA is filed under the name Lotus japonicus. RNAcentral's name for it is "lja-miR11159-3p". The record is from miRBase by way of RNAcentral. Lineage: Eukaryota; Viridiplantae; Streptophyta; Magnoliopsida; Fabales; Fabaceae.